Molecule: microRNA precursor, 205 nt
Filed under: Glycine max (soybean)
Lineage: Eukaryota; Viridiplantae; Streptophyta; Magnoliopsida; Fabales; Fabaceae
Description: miR5674b stem-loop (gma-MIR5674b)
Source: miRBase by way of RNAcentral
CACUUGGGUUGAUGAUUUUCAAUACGAUUUCAUUUAAGAAGUUAGUUGCUUCUUUCAGCUUACCAACAAUGAAGCCACACAAUCAAGAAUUACAAGUGGCAACAUUAACAAAAAUCCCUUUGACAACCAUUUUAGGAAAAAAAACCAUACAAGUUUAUGUUUACAUAAAGUCAAUAAUUGUGUUGUACAUUAUCACAUUAGAGUC